AAAACACUUCUCUCUCUCCCACACAUCAGUCACCUCCACACCUCACCUUACCGCCAGCGCUCACCAUCGGGAAGCAUUCGACAUCGCACAUCGCCACCGCCACCGCCACCGCCGCAAUACCAGGAUAUCUCUCGCUCUCCCACUUGUUGUAUGCCCAAAUCGACGCUUGUUGUAUCCCCAAAUCGACAAACAACGACGCGAUGACGAACAAUUCAUCGCUAAUCUGCUCUGGUGGGUAUGACAAAGAAUAGAAAGCAGCUAGGGCUUAUGAUAUGGUUGCACUGAAGUACUGGGGAACAUCUACCACUACAAACUUCCCUAUCAGUAAUUACGAAAAGGAACUUGAGGAGAUGAAACACAUGACCAGGCAAGAAUUUGUAGCCUCAAUUAGAAGAUGACUUUGUUGCGUGGACUUGCAGAGAUAUUUUGGUGUAUGGAAAAGAAAUUGUAUUUUUGUAUAGAAGUAAUAUAAUACUUUUGUCGUCCCCAGCUUUUGUGCAGUUAACUAUUACUCAUAUAGAAAACUUUUGGCAGCGAACAGCUAAUUCCUGGCAUGGUAGAUAGAUCACCUUUUGACGCCACACAAGUAUAUGAUUUUUUUGUCGUGGUACAUAGAUGUAUUUUUGGCUUGGUACAUACAUCACAUUUUGUCGUGGUACAGAUUACGGUGGUAAUUUGUACCAUGC
Camellia sinensis is the source of this 686-nucleotide non-coding RNA. The record is from RefSeq and is a predicted model, not a curated record. NCBI's taxonomy places the organism in Eukaryota, Viridiplantae, Streptophyta, Magnoliopsida, Ericales, Theaceae.